RNAcentral lists this long non-coding RNA (3225 nucleotides) under Ursus thibetanus thibetanus. RNAcentral's name for it is "lncRNA (ENSUTTG00000013142.1)". Lineage: Eukaryota; Metazoa; Chordata; Mammalia; Carnivora; Ursidae. The record is from RNAcentral.
AUGCGGUUUCUCCACAGGCGGACGGCGGAAGCAACGGAUCUUUGGAAGGCCUGGGGGCCUUUGGUUGCACAAACUGAGCAGAACUCCCAGUUCAAAGGAGUUGCAAUCCCCGAGCCUUCCGCCCUGGGGUGGGUUCCACGCGGCAGUCUCGCUUCCUUCCUCGUCACGGGGCGUCCCUCCCAGUUACAGGAGCCCAGGGAGCGGCCACCGGCAAGGAGCGGCCCGGCGGUGCGCGGGGGACAGGCCAGCGCGUGCGGAAGCCCUGCUCGGCCAGCCGCGGCCGUCCGCUUGUCCAGGCCCCACGCUCGGCGCAAAGCUCUGUCGGGAAGUAUUGAUGGGAAAGGGGCGCCGAGCCGCGCCCUGUCCCGCCCCACUCAGGGACCCCGGGCCGCAGAUUCGCUCCUGUGAGUUUGGGGAAGACCCUCCAGGACAGCGCUCCACCGGCCCUGACCUGGCACCGCGCCUCGGCUCCCGGGAUCCGGACCCGCCCAGCGGCAGAAAGGUAAGCGCUCGGAAACCCGUGCGAGGAGCGCGGCCCUUCGGGUCAGGACUCAGGCAGUGGCCAGAAGGACCAGGGCGCAGGGCUCUGGGGUGCAACCUGGAAGGAGAAAGGUGCACUUUCCCGUGGCUCUCGGAUGCAAAUACGCACCACCCAGAGCCCCCUUCUCUGCUGUCCCACCCGCGUCCUGCUCCUCUCAGCGCAAGGCUGAGGGAAGUUCAGGUGCUGUUGUGUUUUAGUUAAGGAGAAAGCACAGCUAGCGGGGCCUGUGUGGCUGGGAAGCUGCCCCGCAGCUGUGCUGUGAGGUUCCCCGUGAGUGCUGCUGCCCCCUCUUCACACUCCUAGAAAGGGCAGGGGAGAAGGAAGGGCCAACCCAGCGCUGACUGCUCCGCUCCAGAGAGCGGAACUUUCCCUACAUCUCUGCUUUUAUAGCCCUUGGAGGGAGGAGUAGGGGGUAGGAGUGCUCAGUCCCUUGGCUCUCUGGGCCGCAAGCCUGGCAACUGUCAAUAGCCACACCAGUUGUCCUGACAAAUGGGGUCUUCUUGGUGACCGGAGUCCACAAAAAGAGACCUUGGGGAAACAUCAUCCCUCUCCAACCAGUACAGGAGAGGCCUGUCUCACCUACCUAAGGUUCAGAGAGUACUUGUCAACCCUAGCCUGCAGAGAAUACUCCCCUUCCUUGAACCCUUGACUUUCUCCAUGCCCAUCAGUGUGUAAGUCUGGGUUCAGCUAACUCAAAAAAAUUCACUUAUUGCAGGGAUACUAGGAUAGCAGGAAGGCUGAAGAAUUAAGAAAAAGCCAUUUUAGGAAACACCACAGGGUCAAAGGGCAGGAAAGCCUGGUUAGGGCACUGCUGCGGGCACGCCAUCACUAGACUCUUGGCAUGGGUAUCACUGUGUGUAAUUUCUCAUCUCCUUCCAUCAUUACGACCUUUACUCCCUCAAGAUUCCAAGGGUUCUGUGGGAUCAUUUGAUUGGCUAAAUCUAGGACACAUGUCCAGCUGUCAGAGAUGGGGAGAGAGCAAACAUAGGUUUGUUCUCUUAGGUUUCUAUGUGAAAAGCAAAAAGUCCUCCACCAAUUACCUCAUCUGGGGACUGUCUCCCAAAUCAGAGUGUUCAGAUGCUAGGUUUAAAAAGAAGAAAAUGAUAGUGUCAGGGGGCACGUGGGUGGCUCAGUCAGUUAAGCGUCUGCCUUCACCUCAGGUCAUGAUCUCCGGGUCCCAAGCCCGGAGUGGGGCUCCCUGCUCAGUGGUGAGUUGGCUUCUCCCUCUGCCCCUCCCCCCACUCAUGUUCUCUUCGGCUCACUCUGCUCUCUCUCUCUCUCUCACAUAAAUAAAUAAGUAAUCUUAAAAAAAAUGAUAAUGUCCCUACAGUCCACCCCUCUGGCUCAACACCCACAUGUGCCUUUCUUUCUGAAUUUACAGUCCUUUCCCUCACAAAAUGCUCCCAUCCUACAUGUACUGCUGUCACUCCUACAGACUGUAUUCAAGUUGCUCCCAAGGAGACAAACCUCAUAGCUCUUGGGUCAGGAUCUUUGGUCUGUUCUCCUUCUAGUUCCGUUGGAAUCCUGUCUCAGUAUUCUGCAACCUGUGGACUAGACCAAAUUAUAAGGUUAAUCGUCAUCAUACAUAAUAAUACAACAGCAAGGGAAUAAAAACUGGAAAAAUGCAAAUAAGUUAAAAUAUACAAGCAUCUACCAUGACAAAGGUUAGGAGGUGAAAGCCCCUAUCUUUCUUUCUGCAAUAUGAGAUUCUAUUUUGUAUUUAUGACAUCCCCCCUCCUUUUUCCAUGCCAUGUUUCUUUUGCCUUCAGCCAGCACCUGAGCGGGUUGGUGUUCUCUACUCAGGGAAGAAACAAGCCUUUGUUCCUGGGGAACUGAGCCCUUGAUGGUCCUGCCUAUGAAGGCUGUGAUGGCCUUCCAUUAAAUUUUACCACUGGACAUAAUAGCACUGGGAGGCACCCCAAAGGAGCCCCUUGGUUCCACGAAUACUUCUUGUUGCCUGUUGCAUAAAGAUCCUCUUGACCUUGCUAUUCAGAAUUAAUCACCUUGGCCAAUCCCACUAUUCCCCCUUUAACAUGUCCAUCCAUUGGCAAGAGCAACCAGAAGUGACCAGGCAGCAAUUUCUGCUUCUAAUUCAGUAAAAAUAUUGUUGUUUCUCCUGGUAGGAGCUUUCUUCCCUCCAGGACUUUCUAACCUUAAUCCAGCAGAAACAAGAGUCACAGGAAAUGAGGGGGUCAUUGGGUACUUGUAGAAAGUGCUACCCCUCUUUCUGGACCCAUAUGAUUGGGCUCCGGGAGAAAUAACAUCCUGAUAUUAAUCCCUAGUUCAAACCACAUACCCCCUUCUUGAAGUACUGCACCCCACCACCACAAAAUUCUAAGUUGUUCUAACAAAGACUCCAAAAACACAAUGGCUCAAACAAGAUAAAAGUUUAUUUUUGUCUUACAACUAGGGAAGAAAGGUAGCUCUGCUCUGUGAACACAUCUAGAGACCCAAGCUAAUGAGGAAACUCUGACAGCCUUAACAGGUGCCUUCCAAAGUUGUCAGUCCCGGCCAGCAGGAAGGAAAGCGUGUAGCAACUCCAAGGAAAGCUCUUUAAGAAGAUGACUUGAAAGCUGUACCUAUCAAUUCCACCCACAUUCCAUGGAGAACCAGCCACAAAGGAGGCUGGGAGACGUAGUCCCUGGGUGGACAAGCGGAGAAGGGAGAAGGGGUUUGAGGGGACA